This 960-nucleotide long non-coding RNA is filed under the name Castor canadensis (American beaver). Its description in RNAcentral is "lncRNA (ENSCCNG00000029300.1)". Lineage: Eukaryota; Metazoa; Chordata; Mammalia; Rodentia; Castoridae. The record is from RNAcentral.
CGCCGCGGCGCCCCCGGAGCGGAAGUGAGGUCGGUGGCUUCGGUGGCUGCGCAGCGUCGGGGAGCGCGGGCUGCGGCGAGGCGGGCCGGCCAAGCGCAGCGGGCGGGAGAGCGGCCCCGGGAGGCGGCAAAGUCGCGGGGCGAGCGGCUCGGCCCCCCCCAUCGGAGGAGCUCAGCGGCGCCGCUCCUCGCCUCGCCCCGCGCCCGCUCGGACCGGUGUGCGCCGGUCACCUAGGCCCAGGCCGUCGCGCGCGACGCGUUCUUGAAAUCAUGAAUCCUGUUUAUAGCCCUGGGUCUUCUGGGGUUCCUUAUGCAAAUGCCAAAGGAAUCGGUUAUCCUGGUAAGCAAGUAGAAUUUUGUUUUCAUUAUUGAACUUUGAACAUUUGGUAUAUUUCCAUGUCAGUAAAAACACAGAAGAUGAACCCAACUCAAAGUGGCUUAGAUAAGGAAGAGGAUACGUGGAAGUGGGAAAAAAAAAAAAUCAAGGAACAAGAUUAGCUUUGGUCAGAGCUUGACCUGGUGGCUCCAACAGUAGGGACUAGGAUGUAGUUUUUGUACCUCCUGGCCUCAACUUCACUUCCUCAGUAUUGACUUAGUGUUGCUCACUGGUUCUGUUCUUCCCCAUUAUGGCCUGUGAGGUUCAGCCCCUCCAAGCAGUCCUUGACUAGAGCCUCUGUAUCUCUGCCCUUCAGGAAAGCCCAACAGGGCUUCAUGUUCCCUAUUCACACCAGUCCUGAAGUCUGUCCUGAUUGAACCCUGCUUCCAUCCUCUUGGGCCAUGGAGGAAUCCUAUUGAGUAACUUAGGUCAGAGCCACAUUCCUCCAGUGGAAUUAUGAGGGAGGCUAAAAAUCAAAAAUUACUGGGAGAAUUUGUUGGUCAGAAAUAGCGAAUGGUUGUCCUAAUUGAUAUCUUUGAGCAAGGUGAGUUUUGAUAAUAUGGUAAUAUGAUAACAGAGAAAACU